Chinchilla lanigera (long-tailed chinchilla) is the source of this 582-nucleotide long non-coding RNA. RefSeq lists it as uncharacterized. The record is from RefSeq and is a predicted model, not a curated record. The transcript is spliced from 3 exons. Lineage: Eukaryota; Metazoa; Chordata; Mammalia; Rodentia; Chinchillidae.
CAGCAAGCAGUUUGUGAAAGCCUGGGUGAAAUCGCCCUGCAGAGAGGACAGACUCGAGUGUAUCAAACCAGUUCUGCCCUUUUCCAUAUGAGUCACCCAGAAGAGGAGGAAAGAAUGCAUGAUGGACUAACACAAGUAAUAACCAAGGUUACAACAAGAGACUGAAGAGGUUCCCUACAGUUGGUGCCAGAACUGGACACCCAGUGAGAGAAAAUAAGUGGGCAGUGGGUACACUUCCCAACAGUGAACAACAGAAAGGAGGAAGUGCAUUUGUGAAAGCUAGUAUUCAGCACUGGAGUGCAUGGUACUGGCACAUCAGGGGUAAAGCAUGGGGAUACAUAUUUUCUAGGGCUAGGAGAUAUACAGGCUUCUAAGAAGCCAAAAGAGAAAGGGAUAUUGAGGUGCAAGUAGAGCCACCCACCUGACCUCUCUGAAGUGGUAACAACAAAGCAAUUGAAUGAGACUCUACAAAAAAUAAAAUCAGAAAUAACUGUGGAAAUGGUGUCCACAACAAAAACCAUGCUUAGUGACACUAGAGCAGAUACAAAGAAAUAGAAGAGCUUAAGAAAAUUAUGGAAGCCA